This 3095-nucleotide long non-coding RNA is filed under the name Neodiprion pinetum (white pine sawfly). RNAcentral describes it as "uncharacterized LOC124212464". Lineage: Eukaryota; Metazoa; Arthropoda; Insecta; Hymenoptera; Diprionidae. The record is from RNAcentral.
AGUAUUGUCAUCUGUACAAUUUCAGAGAAAAGGAUUUCAAGGGCUACGUAAUCGAACAAAACGAAAGUAAAACGGAUCGACAAGGAAAAAAUUGCUCUCAGUGUGCAAAAUUUAUUUAUACCAUCAAACGAAAGCAUUGGAGAUCAGGAUUAGAAAAUGAAGUUACAAAAAAAAACUGAAAGAAAAUGUUCGCCGACGGUGUAAAACUGUCAAUUGUCGAAAUCAGAGGCUUCAUUCGCAGAUGCUUAGGACCAAGAUUGAAGCAAUGAUAUUAAACUGUGCAAAAGACAAGCAAGAAGCAGUACUCGAAGCAAUUUCAAGAUUGUCUGAUGCAGAGCAAUCAACUGUUGAAGCAUGGUUAUCGGCAGUGAAUUACAAAAGCAACAACGAUCGACAGUAUAAAACACAAUGGAUUUACGAGUGUUUGCUCUUACGAAUGAAAAGUAAGAAAGCCUACAUUCAUGUCAGGAGGCAUAAAGCACUCGCUCUAGUGGUUAAAGGCACGUAUGGCUUUCAGUGCAACAUCCUCGAAGCUUUGAAGACAACGACUUCGAACAUGUCACCUCAAGAUAUACGUUGCACAAGAGGAGAUCACGCAUUGGUGCUAUUCAAAGGAAAAUGGGUACAAACAUCAGAGUGCUUUUUGAGUAAGGGCGUAGCUAUUGGAACAAUCGUGCACAAAAUCAUAAUAGAAUGUGUCAUACUACCAGAAAAAGCUGGCUUACGCAUCAAUGCAAUUACAACAGACGGAGCAAGCAGGAAUCGAUCGAUGUGGAACACAUUUGGGGUAACGGACAAAAAUGUUGCCAUCGAUGAUAUUGUAGACUAUACACACCGACACUGGUUUUUCUCUGAUUUUCCGUAUUUAAUCGAAUGCAUCAGAAAUUUCUUCACAUAUCAGCAAAAGUACAACCAAGCUUGGUUCUUCGGCAUCGUGGAUGUUUUGCAACUUUUUAAAAAUAGCUACAAAGAUUUGAAAGAUUGUGAAGGCAACAUUAGAUUCUGUUAAGAAAUGAAGGCUAUCAUCCAUGCAAUAAAUAUUCAAACAUCGAUAUGUGAUUGGUACCUGGAAAUCUAGCUUGGCAGGUAUAAAGUAUAAUUUUGUAACCAAAAUAAUAUUCAAAUGCAAUUGUCACGUAACCAGAAGUACAAAUUUUGGCAACUCUUCAAUCUGUUGACAUAACUUUGGGUAAAAACGUUAUGUAUUAUCUAGAUUAUGUAAACCUUCAGCUGUUGUACAGCUCUCUCAUGAUACAGAUCAUAUCACUGUAUCGAAUAAAGUAGAUUGUAUCAUUGUGUUAAUAAUCAUCAUCUAUCGUUAAUUAUCAUCCAGCUUCGUUCACUACACUUCCUUAUCGCUGUUUUGCGGAUCCUACAUUGAUGAUCUACAAUCUCUACCUAUCUCUCUGAACAAAAGCUAUUUAUGAAAUCUGAAUUUUCGUUGUUGAAGAAUGAGAUUUUGAGUAUCUCAUGACUGCACGUCUAAAUCAACCUAAUCUGGAGCUUCUGUUUGGAAUGAUGCGGGAGUGCUGUGGAUCAAAUGACCAUGUUGAUUUCAGACUCCUUGUCGAAAUGAACCUGUUGGUAUCUAUGUACUCUGUCAUCGAACCACCUGAAGGUUGUGAUAUAUGUAGUGCGGAAGUGUUCAAUAUUCUGUUAAGCAUUAAAGAUAUGGAUUAUGUUGCAGAACAGAAAGAGUAACCGGAUACGUAAAUAAGUGCAAUCCUUGAUUCUGGAUGUAGAUCUAAUAUUUUUGCUGAUGCUGCAUUAUUCAUCCAAUAAUCAAUUUGUAGAUCGAUUUCAAACUACUACUUUCACCAAAUAUGAAUCAUUGGAUACUCUCCGACAUCAAGCAAUUUGUCCAGACUUCAGGAGAUCCACAAAUUCCUGGGUAUUAGUAAUUGUCAUAUACUUUGAAAAUACCAUGAGUUCACCAAUCAAAAUUUUAAACAAUCAUGUCAAUAAGUACAGCUACUCUCUUGCUGAUAGUAGCAUAAUUUUUUAUCCUCUGAAGAGUACAAAAUGUGUUUGUACCUUUUGUAAAACACUAUCUAUCACAUGGCAACUCAACGGAAUCUAAUUUAUUUUGUCAAUAUCGAAAAUGAAACUCGUUUUCGAAACUUGCCAUUAGUGAAUUGGGCAAUGCUACUAGUAAAAAUAAUUUAUAUGUGCUAAACCACAUGGUCGGUUGGAGAAUUUAUCUGCGAAAGUGCAACAAGUGAUUCUGCUUUGGCGUCCAGAGCAAAGGAUGCUAGAAUUCCUUGCAGUUGGGAUAAAGCUUUCUAAGAGAUGCUUAAUAUCAGCCCAAAAAAUCCGGUUAUUCAAUUCCAUUGUCUGAUCGCCAACUGAGCAGGCUGCUAGAUCAGCAUGCUAGUUGCCAAGGAUGUCAAUAUGGGAGGGCAUCUAAACUAGGAUGCAUUGGCCUUCAUGGUUGUAAAGAUCAAAUAAUUGCUAUUUUAUUGAGAACAGGAUAGGAUUGACUUUGAUUUUAGUCAAAGGCUGAGCCAAGGCAGUGAGAACACUCAGUGAAUCUGAGAGGAUUAGGCUCUUGAAAACAGAUCAUAGUCGUAGCGAAAUCUAAAGCUUUGGAAAUGCCAAGCGUCUCUGCGGAGAAGAUGGAAGAGUUAUCACUAAGUCUAAGGAGGACCGGCUCUUCAGCGUUUGGAGUGUGUAAAAUUGUGGAAGUCAAAUUCGCAAAAGUUUCUCCUCGGUCGUUUGGGAUCGGUACGACCCCAAAAACUAAUCUAUUUCUUAUGGGACGUAAAACAAGUGAGGAUGAAGGGUUAACCUCGAGGAAGGGAAAGGGUCACACUUGAUGGUCUUACCUAUAGAGGUGUUGACGUUCACCGUAGGAAAGAUAGCCGGAUACUCUAAAUUAAAGCAACAGAAAGUCAUGAACGUCCGAAUCCAAGAUGCAGUUUCGUUUGAAAAAUGCUAUGAGAGUCAUUCAGUAAAGACCCUAGAGAACAGAACACCUAUCAGUGUUGCCGGAUGGCUGUCGCACAAAGCUCCUAGAGUAAUUUUGAAAUCCUGCUAGAUUGUCCUAAACCACAAAAAAUUACUGCCUAAAAUUUUUAUAAUUUUAUAUAAUUGGU